Molecule: ribosomal RNA, 741 nt
Filed under: Triticum aestivum (bread wheat)
Lineage: Eukaryota; Viridiplantae; Streptophyta; Magnoliopsida; Poales; Poaceae
Description: partial small subunit ribosomal RNA
Source: RNAcentral
AUGGCCACUGCGAACCAAGACUGCGCCGCGACGUUCCAGUUCCACGACCAUCGCGGAGGUCCGGCAGCGACGGAGCUCCACGGCCGGACGAUCUCCUCCGAGCAGGAGCACGGCAUCAUCGUCGCCGCGCUGCGGCACGUCGUGUCCGGCUACACCACGGCGCCGCCGGAGGUCGUCGUGGCCGUGGCGUGCGGGCGGUGCGGCAUCGACGGCUGCCUCGGGUGCGACUUCUUCGGGGCCACCGAGCCGGAGGCGGAGGCGGCGGCCGUGCCCGUGGGAGCGGCGGGAGGGGGCCAGAGGAAGCGGCGGAGGAAGAAGAACGUCUACCGCGGCGUGCGGCAGCGGCCGUGGGGGAAGUGGGCGGCGGAGAUCCGCGACCCGCGCCGCGCGGUGCGCAAGUGGCUCGGGACCUUCGACACCGCCGAGGAUGCCGCGCGGGCGUACGACCUCGCCGCGCUCGAGUUCCGCGGCCCGCGCGCCAGGCUCAACUUCCCGUGCUCCGACGAGCCUCUGCGUGUGCACGGGAGCGGCAAUGGCGGUGAUGGUGAUGCUGGCGCGGCGCCGCAGAACGAGACUCUGACCACGCCGUCGCCGUGCAGCACGGACGCCGGCCAGAGGACGCCGGGACAAUGGCAGCUGGCUGCGGACGGGGCCGGCGACCAGCUGUGGGAAGGCUUGCAGGAUCUCAUGACGAUAGAUGGAGAGGGCCCAUGGUUCGCGCCAUUUUCGAGUCCAGCAUAA